Molecule: unclassified non-coding RNA, 1913 nt
Filed under: Sitophilus oryzae (rice weevil)
Lineage: Eukaryota; Metazoa; Arthropoda; Insecta; Coleoptera; Curculionidae
Description: protein CBFA2T3, transcript variant X2
Source: RNAcentral
GACGCUUCGUGAGACGCUUGCACGUCGUCCUAUUAAUAACGUCUCUCGAUUUUCGAAACAAACCUACUGUUUUCAUUCAUUAUUUGAUAAUACGCACGAGAAUAUGGGUCUAUAUCCGUAAACCAUCCUGUAUUUUAGCAUUUUUUCUAACCGGUAACAAUGAGAAAGGGUGUUGCUGAAUCAAAGACUAUAAAGGAAGAAACUCUGGAAAAAGAAGGCACCUUCGUUGAAGCUCCACGUAUCAAAACAUCUAAAGGUGUGACUGUUACUAAAGAACGUUGCAAAACGCCAGACUCACCAGAAGGUGCCAAGCAAGCUACAACUCCCCAUUCUCCACCACAUUCAUCCCCACCAUCGCAAAACGUCAAUUCUCCCCUAUGCAACGGCAACACCGAUAGUUCAACACCACCCCCACCAUUGCCAGCAGCCACUGCUUUGUCACUGUCUCUGGACACAUCCAGAUCCAUAGCGGACCUCCAGUAUGGAACAUUAGGUGGAGGGUUUCCACCAGGAAGACAGCUGACGAAAGUCAAAAAGUUUUUAAGUACCCUAGUGCAGUUUGGUAAUGAUAUCAAUCAGGAUGUUGGAGACAGAGUCAAGACUCUCGUGCUUAACUUAGUAAGUUCAAAUUUAACUAUAGAGGAGUUUCACCACUCCUUGCAAGAUGUAACAAAUUUUCCACUAAGGCCAUUUGUACUGCCUUUUUUGAAAGCUCACAUGCCCAUGCUUCAAAGGGAGUUACACGCUUUGGCAAGGAUAAAUAAACAGUCGGCUCUACAAUAUAUACGCUCUCAUGACAACAUUAUUUUGGAUACUGCACAUUCCCCUUCUGAGGCCUCCGAGAUCUUCAUGCCAAACGACAACACACCAUUGGCAGGUGUCAAAAGAAGGUCAUCCGAAGGAGCAUACGAAAAUGGCGUUAACGGAAACCAACCAACACCAGAAGACUACCUAUCUCCAUCCAAACGUCCCACACCCUUUCUUUUUUCCCAUCAUCAGAAUAUCUUCCUGCCCAACGUUCAAAAUGCCCAUUUGUUCGACUACCAAUCUUCUGCCCAAUCUGCAAUCAAACUGGAGGACCCCACGGUUAAUAGAGGUGACGAAGAAUGGAAGAACAUCCACGUUAUGCUCAAUUGUAUUCUUUCCAUGGUAGAGAAAACAAAAAGGGCUUUGACAAUACUGCAACAAAGAAAUCCGACCAUUUCACAAGAUCCAACCACUGAAUGGCUGAAGAAACAAGAUUUGAGUCAAGAUCUUAAGAAAGCAGCUAAUGAUAUACUUAGUGCAGCAGUUAGGGCUGCUGAGGAACGCGUUGCUGAGGUUAGACGUAAAGCUGAAGAAGCUGUAGGAGAUGUGAAAAAACAGGCUGUUUUAGAGUUACAGAGGGCUGUAGCCGCAGCUGAAGCUAGAGCAGGAGAGUUGCUUGCAGCUGAGAGGGCCAGAGUUGAGAAAACUCUAGGAGAGGCCAGGAAGCAUUCUGAAGAAGCUAAUCCAAAUCACACUGAAUUUGGUGAAAAUAGCCAGUCACCUUCUAGUCAGCCAGCACCAUCUCAACAAAAUGCUUGUUGGAAUUGCGGUAGGAAAGCUCACGACACAUGCUCUGGAUGCAGUUUAGCCCGAUAUUGUGGACCUUUCUGUCAACACAAAGACUGGGAAAAUCAUCACCAAAUAUGUAACAAGGAAAAACGUCCUAGUCUGGCAACAGUGUCCAUUCCACCAACGCCAGUACCAGUGGCGUUGCCAAAUGGCGAUGCGCGGGUUAAAAAGUGACACAUAAAGAAAAGCCGAAAAUUUAGAAAAUUUUACUGAAAAUGUAAACGGAGAGAGGAUAACUGGUAUGUGAUUCGGGUAAAAGCCAAAAAUGCAAUAUUGAUAUUUUGUUAGAACACGUAAUAGGUGGUAUUCUAUGUUAU